RNAcentral lists this ribosomal RNA (497 nucleotides) under uncultured bacterium. RNAcentral describes it as "partial 16S ribosomal RNA". It matches the Rfam family "Bacterial small subunit ribosomal RNA", at positions 28 to 507 of the family's 1533-position model. The record is from RNAcentral.
GAUGAACGCUGGCGGCGUGCCUAAUACAUGCAAGUCGAGCGAACAGACGAGAAGCUUUCUCCUCUGACGUUAGCGGCUGACGGGUGAGUAACACGUGGAUAACCUACCUAUAAUACUGGGAUAACUUCGGGAAACCGGAGCUACUACCGGAUAAUAUAUUGAACCGCAUGGUUCAAUAGUGAAAGACGGUUUUGCUGUCACUUAUAGAUGGAUCCGCGCUGCAUUAGCUAGUUGGUAAGGUAACGGCUUACCAAGGCAACGAUGCGUAGCCGACCUGAAAGGGUGAUCGGCCACACCUGAACUGAGAAACGGGCCAGAAUCCUAAGGGAGGCAGGAGGAGGGAAUCUUCCGCAAUGGGAGAAAGCCUGACGGAGCAAAGCCGCGGGAGUGAUGAAGGUCUUCGGAUUUGAAAACUCUGUUAUUAGGGAAGAACAAAUGUGUAAGUAACUAUGCACGUCUUGACGGUACCUAAUCAGAAAGGCACGGCUAACUACGUG